UACGGAGGGUGCAAGCGUUAUCCGGAUUCACUGGGUUUAAAGGGUGCGUAGGUGGGCAGGUAAGUCAGUGGUGAAAUCUCCGGGCUUAACCCGGAAACUGCCAUUGAUACUAUCAGUCUUGAAUAUCGUGGAGGUAAGCGGAAUAUGUCAUGUAGCGGUGAAAUGCUUAGAUAUGACAUAGAACACCAAUUGCGUAGGCAGCUUACUACACGAUCAUUGACGCUGAGGCACGAAAGCGUGGGGAGCAAACAGG
RNAcentral lists this ribosomal RNA (253 nucleotides) under uncultured bacterium. RNAcentral describes it as "partial 16S ribosomal RNA". It matches the Rfam family "Bacterial small subunit ribosomal RNA", at positions 524 to 776 of the family's 1533-position model. The record is from RNAcentral.